GUUAGAGUUCAGUGGCUAAUUUGAUUUGAAUACAAGCUAUUGUAGUUGUUUACAUUCAAAUCGGAGUUAUCACGGUUAUAAUGUCAUAGGAGCCACGUCUGCCGGCAAAUAUGAGACGAUACCGCAACCGUCCCUGGGGAUUUAUUGAUGGAAUAAUGUGUUUUGGGCUAAAUAUUUUUACUGGAUUAGAUCGUCUGGACCUUUGACAACAUAACAAGACCAUUUUUGUUGGAAUAUAAUGGAUCGAUGAGGCUUCAUAGGGGGGGGGGGGGAUUCUCAUCGCCCCUGGCCUGGCUGAGAUAUAGGACCUGAUGGCCAGCUGUAUUGCUGACUGGCUAGCUGGCUAAAUGCCCAGUGGAGGAUUCAGCCCAUCAAUACCAUUUCCUAGCAAACCCAGCUCAGGUUUCACUCUUGAAAUGAGCUCCAUAUCCCAAUGAAGUGCCUGUUCAGACCCACUAUACCUAUAUGUAAUGACUUAUCUAAUGACUAAACAUCCACAUAAUAAAACAGGUACUGUGAGUGAAA
This is a long non-coding RNA of Micropterus dolomieu (smallmouth bass), 525 nucleotides long. RefSeq lists it as uncharacterized. The record is from RefSeq and is a predicted model, not a curated record. The transcript has 2 exons. NCBI's taxonomy places the organism in Eukaryota, Metazoa, Chordata, Actinopteri, Centrarchiformes, Centrarchidae.